CUGACACAGGGAGGUAGUGACAAUAAAUAACAAUGCCGGGCCUUUGUAGGUCUGGCAAUUGGAAUGAGAACAAUUUAAACCCCUUAUCGAGUAUCAAUUGGAGGGCAAGUCUGGUGCCAGCAGCCGCGGUAAUUCCAGCUCCAAUAGCGUAUAUUAAAGUUGUUGCAGUUAAAAAGCUCGUAGUUGGAUUUGUGGUGUAUGCAGGCGGCCCGUCACUAUGUGAUGGAGUCUGCUUGCGUCGCCAUCCUUGGGUGGAUCCUGUGUGGCAUUAAGUUGUCGUGCAGGGGAUGCCCAUCGUUUACUGUGAAAAAAUUGAGUGUUCAAAGCAGGCUUACGCCGUUGAAUAUAUUAGCAUGGAAUAAUAAGAUAGGACC
Molecule: ribosomal RNA, 374 nt
Filed under: uncultured diatom
Lineage: Eukaryota; Bacillariophyta
Description: SSU rRNA
Rfam family: Eukaryotic small subunit ribosomal RNA
Source: RNAcentral